This 226-nucleotide unclassified non-coding RNA is filed under the name Hevea brasiliensis (rubber tree). Lineage: Eukaryota; Viridiplantae; Streptophyta; Magnoliopsida; Malpighiales; Euphorbiaceae. The record is from RNAcentral.
GGAACUAGAUAAACUCCCUCUAGCUCGUCGAGAAUUAAGAGGUGAAGGUAAUGAUCCUAUCAGUGAUUUGUCCGCGACAAAGAGGGCACUCUAAACAAGCAAGGGAACAUGGUUUACACAAGCAAAAAUGCCGACAUGGGAGAAGUACUGCGGCCGAUGGAGAUUCAAAACAUACUUUACAAACAUGAGAAUUGAUAUCCCCGUUUCCGAUAGAGUCGACUUCUUU